Bombus impatiens (common eastern bumble bee) is the source of this 443-nucleotide long non-coding RNA. RefSeq lists it as uncharacterized. Lineage: Eukaryota; Metazoa; Arthropoda; Insecta; Hymenoptera; Apidae. The record is from RefSeq and is a predicted model, not a curated record. The transcript is spliced from 3 exons.
GAAGAAGCACGCGAUGAAGGAGAACUGGAUGACGAAUGCUGGAAAAGCCAAUUGCUUUUUAAUUGUUCAUUUAAAAUCUCAAAGCAGCACUGGUUUUUCUUCCAAAAGAAUUACAUGUUACAUCAGAUCAUUUUAUGAUUGAAUAUUUCAUCUUACCUAUACUGGUACAAAUUUUAUCCGACAACUCCAUAUUCCAUAACUGUGUAAUUGCUAACAUCGUAAAAGCCAGCGCUAAGGAUCCACAAUAACGACACAAUGCCCUUCCAAAAAUAUCUCGCAAAUUUGGUGUGAUGGAAUACGCUGCGAUGAAAAACAUACAAAAGUGUGAAGUCCUAAAUCUGGCACGAUUUCUGCACAGUAGUUGAUUCCAGGUUGCAGCAUUGUCGGAUCGUGAUUCGGUGCAUAUACAGAACCGUUCGUUAAUAAAUAAUUGUUAUCUCUGU